CAAUAGCGUAUAUUAAAGUUGUUGCAGUUAGAACGCUCGUAGUCGGAUUUCGGGGCGGGCCGACCGGUCUGCCGAUGGGUAUGCACUGGUCGGCGCGUCCUUCCUUCCGGAGACCGUCCCUACUCUUAACUGAGCGGGGGCGGGAGACGGGACUUUUACUUUGAAAAAAUCAGAGUGUUUCAAGCAGGCAGCACGCUCUUGCAUGGAUUAGCAUGGGAUAAUGAAAUAGGACUUUGGUGCUAUUUUGUUGGUUUCGAACACCGAAGUAAUGAUGAGAAGGGACAGUCAGGGGCACUCGUAUUCCGCCGAGAGAGGUGAAAUUCUCAGACCAGCGGAAGACGAACCACUGCGAAAGCAUUUGCCAGGGAUGUUUUCACUGA
Molecule: ribosomal RNA, 380 nt
Filed under: uncultured eukaryote
Lineage: Eukaryota
Description: partial 18S ribosomal RNA
Rfam family: Eukaryotic small subunit ribosomal RNA
Source: RNAcentral